GGUUAAGCGACUAAGCGUACACGGUGGAUGCCCUGGCAGUCAGAGGCGAUGAAGGACGUGCUAAUCUGCGAAAAGCGCCGGCGAGGUGAUAUGAACCUUUGACCCGGCGAUGUCCGAAUGGGGAAACCCAGUGCAAUCCGUUGCACUAUCGUUAACUGAAUACAUAGGUUAACGAGGCGAACCGGGGGAACUGAAACAUCUAAGUACCCCGAGGAAAAGAAAUCAACCGAGAUUCCCCCAGUAGCGGCGAGCGAACGGGGAGCAGCCCGGAGUCUGAAUCAGCUUGUGUGUUAGUGGAACGGUCUGGAAAGUCCGACGGUACAGGGUGAUAGUCCCGUACACGAAAGCACACAUGCUGUGAACUCGAAGAGUAGGGCGGGACACGUGGUAUCCUGUCUGAAUAUGGGGGGACCAUCCUCCAAGGCUAAAUACUCCUGACUGACCGAUAGUGAACCAGUACCGUGAGGGAAAGGCGAAAAGAACCCCGGCGAGGGGAGUGAAAAAGAACCUGAAACCGUGUACGUACAAGCAGUGGGAGCCUCUUUUAUGGGGUGACUGCGUACCUUUUGUAUAAUGGGUCAGCGACUUAUAUUCUGUAGCAAGGUUAACCGUAUAGGGGAGCCGAAGGGAAACCGAGUCUUAACUGGGCGUUAAGUUGCAGGGUAUAGACCCGAAACCCGGUGAUCUAGCCAUGGGCAGGUUGAAGGUUGGGUAACACUAACUGGAGGACCGAACCGACUAAUGUUGAAAAAUUAGCGGAUGACCUGUGGCUGGGGGUGAAAGGCCAAUCAAACCGGGAGAUAGCUGGUUCUCCCCGAAAGCUAUUUAGGUAGCGCCUCGUGAACUCAUCUUCGGGGGUAGAGCACUGUUUCGGCUAGGGGGCCAUCCCGGCUUACCAACCCGAUGCAAACUACGAAUACCGAAGAAUGUUAUCACGGGAGACACACGGCGGGUGCUAACGUCCGUCGUGAAGAGGGAAACAACCCAGACCGCCAGCUAAGGUCCCAAAGUCAUGGUUAAGUGGGAAACGAUGUGGGAAGGCACAGACAGCCAGGAUGUUGGCUUAGAAGCAGCCAUCAUUUAAAGAAAGCGUAAUAGCUCACUGGUCGAGUCGGCCUGCGCGGAAGAUGUAACGGGGCUAAACCAUGCACCGAAGCUGCGGCAGCGACGCUUAUGCGUUGUUGGGUAGGGGAGCGUUCUGUAAGCCGUUGAAGGUGUGCUGUGAGGCAUGCUGGAGGUAUCAGAAGUGCGAAUGCUGACAUAAGUAACGAUAAAGCGGGUGAAAAGCCCGCUCGCCGGAAGACCAAGGGUUCCUGUCCAACGUUAAUCGGGGCAGGGUGAGUCGACCCCUAAGGCGAGGCCGAAAGGCGUAGUCGAUGGGAAACAGGUUAAUAUUCCUGUACUUGGUGUUACUGCGAAGGGGGGACGGAGAAGGCUAUGUCAGCCGGGCGACGGUUGUCCCGGUUUAAGCAUGUAGGCGGAGGUUCCAGGUAAAUCCGGUACCUUAUUAACGCUGAGGUGUGAUGACGAGGCACUACGGUGCUGAAGUGAUAAAUGCCCUGCUUCCAGGAAAAGCCUCUAAGCAUCAGGUAACACGAAAUCGUACCCCAAACCGACACAGGUGGUCAGGUAGAGAAUACCAAGGCGCUUGAGAGAACUCGGGUGAAGGAACUAGGCAAAAUGGUGCCGUAACUUCGGGAGAAGGCACGCUGAUGUGUAGGUGAAGCCCCUGCGGGCGGAGCUGAAAUCAGUCGAAGAUACCAGCUGGCUGCAACUGUUUAUUAAAAACACAGCACUGUGCAAACACGAAAGUGGACGUAUACGGUGUGACGCCUGCCCGGUGCCGGAAGGUUAAUUGAUGGGGUUAGCGGCAACGCGAAGCUCUUGAUCGAAGCCCCGGUAAACGGCGGCCGUAACUAUAACGGUCCUAAGGUAGCGAAAUUCCUUGUCGGGUAAGUUCCGACCUGCACGAAUGGCGUAAUGAUGGCCAGGCUGUCUCCACCCGAGACUCAGUGAAAUUGAACUCGCUGUGAAGAUGCAGUGUACCCGCGGCAAGACGGAAAGACCCCGUGAACCUUUACUAUAGCUUGACACUGAACACUGGUCCUUGAUGUGUAGGAUAGGUGGGAGGCUUUGAAGCGUGGACGCCAGUCUGCGUGGAGCCAACCUUGAAAUACCACCCUUUAAUGGCUGGUGUUCUAACGUAGACCCGUAAUCCGGGUUGCGGACAGUGUCUGGUGGGUAGUUUGACUGGGGCGGUCUCCUCCCAAAGAGUAACGGAGGAGCACGAAGGUUGGCUAAUCCUGGUCGGACAUCAGGAGGUUAGUGCAAUGGCAUAAGCCAGCUUGACUGCGAGCGUGACGGCGCGAGCAGGUGCGAAAGCAGGUCAUAGUGAUCCGGUGGUUCUGAAUGGAAGGGCCAUCGCUCAACGGAUAAAAGGUACUCCGGGGAUAACAGGCUGAUACCGCCCAAGAGUUCAUAUCGACGGCGGUGUUUGGCACCUCGAUGUCGGCUCAUCACAUCCUGGGGCUGAAGUAGGUCCCAAGGGUAUGGCUGUUCGCCAUUUAAAGUGGUACGCGAGCUGGGUUUAGAACGUCGUGAGACAGUUCGGUCCCUAUCUGCCGUGGGCGCUGGAGAAUUGAGGGGGGCUGCUCCUAGUACGAGAGGACCGGAGUGGACGCAUCACUGGUGUUCGGGUUGUCAUGCCAAUGGCACUGCCCGGUAGCUAAAUGCGGAAGAGAUAAGUGCUGAAAGCAUCUAAGCACGAAACUUGCCCCGAGAUGAGUUCUCCCUGAGACCUUGAGUCUCCUGAAGGAACGUUAAAGACGAUGACGUUGAUAGGUCGGGUGUGUAAGCGCAGCGAUGCGUUGAGCUAACCGAUACUAAUGAACCGUGAGGCUUAACCUU
This 2907-nucleotide ribosomal RNA is filed under the name Enterobacter hormaechei. RNAcentral's name for it is "23S ribosomal RNA". It matches the Rfam family "Bacterial large subunit ribosomal RNA". Lineage: Bacteria; Pseudomonadati; Pseudomonadota; Gammaproteobacteria; Enterobacterales; Enterobacteriaceae. The record is from RNAcentral.